UACGGAGGGUGCAAGCGUUAUCCGGAUUUACUGGGUUUAAAGGGUGCGUAGGCGGACUUUUAAGUUAGAUGUGAAAGCUUGCAGCUUAACUGUAAGAUUGCGUUUGAUACUGGAAGUCUUGAAUAUGGUAGAAGUUGGCGGAAUAAAUCAUGUAGCGGUGAAAUGCAUAGAUAUGAUUUAGAACACCGAUUGCGAAGGCAGCUAGCUAUGUCAUAAUUGACGCUGAGGCACGAAAGCGUGGGGAUCAAACAGG
Molecule: ribosomal RNA, 253 nt
Filed under: uncultured bacterium
Lineage: Bacteria
Also listed under: 1 other name
Description: partial 16S ribosomal RNA
Rfam family: Bacterial small subunit ribosomal RNA
Source: RNAcentral